This 264-nucleotide long non-coding RNA is filed under the name Mytilus galloprovincialis (Mediterranean mussel). The record is from RNAcentral. Lineage: Eukaryota; Metazoa; Mollusca; Bivalvia; Mytilida; Mytilidae.
UAUGACAACACAUAGACGGUAUAAAAUACAAACAAUAACCAAGUGUUAUGGUAUCAAUAGAUAUGACAACACAUAGACAGUACACAAACAAUAACCAAGUGUUAUGGUAUCAAUAGAUAUGACAACACAUAGACAGUAUGAUAUACAAACAAUAACCAAGUGUUGUGGUAUCAAUAGAUAUGACAACACAUAGACAGUACACAAACAAUAAUCAAGUGUUAUGGUAUCAAUAGAUAUGACAACACAUAGACAGUACACAAACAA